AGAGAUGUGUGAUGACGCAUAUCAAUAAGCGGAGGAAAAGAAACUAACUAGGAUUCCCUCAGUAACGGCGAGUGAAGCGGGAAGAGCUCAAAUUUGAAAUCUUCAAGGUUCUACCUUGACGAAUUGUAGUUUAUAGAAGUGUUUUCUGUUAGUGGAGUGGCAAAAGUUCUUUGGAAUAGGACAUCAUAGAGGGUGAGAAUCCCGUAUUUGGUCAUUCUUUCUAGCUUUGUGAUACACUUUCAACGAGUCGGAUUGUUUGGGAAUGCAGUCCAAAAUGGGUGGUAAAUUUCAUCUAAAGCUAAAUAUUGGCGAGAGACCGAUAGCGAACAAGUACCGUGAGGGAAAGAUGAAAAGAACUUUGAAAAGAGAGUUAAACAGUACGUGAAAUUGUCAAAAGGGAAGCGUUUGACACCAGUGUUGUUUUUCCGAAAAUCAAUUACGAAUGUUUUAGUUUUUGAGAAGUUAUGACUUCAUCGGCUUGCUUCUCUCUUUAUGAAACUUUCUUAAUGCACUUUUCGGUUAACAAGUCAACAUCAAUUUCUUUUGUUGUAAAAGGGUACGAGGAAGGUGGCUUUCUUUUCGGAGAAAGUGUUUAUAGCCUUUUAGCACUGCAAUCGGAGAGAUUGAGGUCUGCAGCGUAGAUCCUUCGGGGUUAGAUACGUUUGUGCUAAGUUAUAGCUUUUCAUAGACAACUUGUUGACUAUGUUUAGUCUUGCGACUUACUCGCUUACGCUAUUUUACCUACGCUUAGGAUGUUGAAGAUGUAGCACAUCA
Molecule: ribosomal RNA, 774 nt
Filed under: uncultured Neocallimastigales
Lineage: Eukaryota; Fungi; Neocallimastigomycota; Neocallimastigomycetes; Neocallimastigales
Description: partial large subunit ribosomal RNA
Rfam family: Eukaryotic large subunit ribosomal RNA
Source: RNAcentral